This 18-nucleotide small nuclear RNA is filed under the name Arabidopsis thaliana (thale cress). RNAcentral describes it as "snRNA_12187". Lineage: Eukaryota; Viridiplantae; Streptophyta; Magnoliopsida; Brassicales; Brassicaceae. The record is from RNAcentral.
AAUAACUGACAAUGCUAA